RNAcentral lists this ribosomal RNA (253 nucleotides) under uncultured bacterium. RNAcentral's name for it is "partial 16S ribosomal RNA". It matches the Rfam family "Bacterial small subunit ribosomal RNA", at positions 524 to 776 of the family's 1533-position model. The record is from RNAcentral.
UACGUAGGGGGCUAGCGUUGUCCGGAAUCAUUGGGCGUAAAGAGCGUGUAGGCGGUCCGGUAAGUCCGCUGUGAAAGUCGGGGGCUCAACCCUCGAAAGCCGGUGGAUACUGUCGGGCUCGAGUCCGGAAGAGGCGAGUGGAAUUCCUGGUGUAGCGGUGGAAUGCGCAGAUAUCAGGAGGAACACCGAUAGCGAAGGCAGCUCGCUGGGACGGUACUGACGCUGAGACGCGAAAGCGUGGGGAGCGAACAGG